Molecule: unclassified non-coding RNA, 1116 nt
Filed under: Mizuhopecten yessoensis (Yesso scallop)
Lineage: Eukaryota; Metazoa; Mollusca; Bivalvia; Pectinida; Pectinidae
Description: hAUS augmin-like complex subunit 4, transcript variant X1
Source: RNAcentral
ACUCUCUCCCUGCUCUUGCCACUCACUCCCCACGUUUUCAGAAACACUAUAUUCCAUCUGACUCUAAAUGGCGCUUGAAGCGGGAUGUACAAUGUCGAAUUUGGAUGCGUUAUGUUGACGAUGACGAUUGCUUAAUGAUGGAUAACAACAGCGCCGAUAUCUCUGACAAACUGAAUACAACUUUAGGGAUUGACUUAAGUGCUGAAGAUGUCCAGAACCAACCCGAGUUUUGCCAGCUGCUUUCUGUGCUGACCAAUCACAUCAGUAAUGAAGGAGUAUCAACUCUAGUGCAAAAAGAUCUCCUACAGGCAGAAGAAGAAUUAAAACAUGAGAAACACAGUUGGCUGUUACAGAAGAUUCUCUACCACGAACUUGAAGAGCUUUUGCGAGAUUAUGAUAUAAAGUCUCAAGACACUGCACUCUCGACAGAAGAUAGACAGUUCCACACCAUCCUACAGGAGACACUGACUCGGGCAGAGAUCUCCGACUACCUGGACUGCUCUCCUGAUCCCACGUCUACAGACACUCUGUUAGGUCUGAGUAAAACAGAACUGUCCCAGCAGAACCCCCACAGAAAGCAUCUACCAUUUAUACAACAAAAGCUGAUCCCGGACAUAGAGAAGAGGCUGAGAGAGAAGUGUGACAGCCUCAUCAACUUUCAUCAGACUGGUUUAGAAGAGGAUGAUGUAGAGCCGGCCUUCAAUCCUACAACACAGUUACCUGCCCUUGUGGAAUCUGAUAAACACCAGCUGCAAAAGACGAAGGCUCAAUUGAAAACUGUGAAACAUAAUAAAGACAAACAGUUCUGGCAGUACUACAAGACGCUGAUAGACUCCUUGGGAGUGCUGGAGGAGGUGGUCGCCAAACAUAGAUUCCAGAACCAGACUGAACAGAACACUGUCACCACAGAAUGGCUGGUGGGCAGGUGUGACGGGCUCUGUUUAAAGAUCAGGUAUACGGCCACCAACAGAACACUGUCACCACAGAAUGGCUGGUGGGCCGGGGUGACGGGCUCUGUCUAAAGAUCAGAUUGCUGGAGAUGCAGGUCUUGUGUGACACGUACACCAAAGAUACAGUGAAGGCCUUACAUUCUGUCAGAGAUCACUUAGACAGCAA